RNAcentral lists this ribosomal RNA (388 nucleotides) under Bitis peringueyi. RNAcentral describes it as "partial 16S ribosomal RNA". It matches the Rfam family "Bacterial large subunit ribosomal RNA", at positions 1998 to 2603 of the family's 2925-position model. The record is from RNAcentral. Lineage: Eukaryota; Metazoa; Chordata; Lepidosauria; Squamata; Viperidae.
GGCAAAAUGAGAGCCCAACUGUCUCUUACAGCAAAUCAAUUAAACUGAUCUCCCAGUACAAAAGCUGGGAUUACAACAUAAGACCAGAAGACCCUGUGAAGCUUUAACUCACCUAUUAAACCCUAUAAUAGCCAGUUUCGGUUGGGGCGACCUUGGAAUAAAAAAGAACUUCCAAAGAACAUGAUUAACCAUGCCACUAGGCAGACAAGCCAUUAAUGACCCAGAAUAUCUGAUAAACGGACCAAGUUACUCCAGGGAUAACAGCGCUAUCUUCUUCAAGAGCCCAUAUCAAAAAGAAGGUUUACGACCUCGAUGUUGGAUCAGGACAUCCUAGUAAUGCAACCGCUACUAAGGGUUCGUUUGUUCAACGAUUAAUAGUCCUACGUGA